GGUAGUAGCAAAUAUUCAAAUGAGAACUUUGAAGGCUGAAGAGGGGAAAGGUUCCAUGUGACGACACUUGCACAUGGGUUAGUCGAUCCUAAGGGACGGGGGAAGCCCGUAUGAUAUCACUUUCAGUGCGUACUCCGAAAGGAAAUCGGGUUAAAAUUCCUGAACCGGGACGUGGCGGUUGACGACAAUGUUAGGGAGUCCGGAGACGUCGGCAGGGCCCCCGGAAAGAGUUAUCUUUUCUGUUUAACAACUUAGUCGCCUUGGAAACGGCUCAGCCGGAGGUAGGGUCCAACGGCUGGAAGAGCACCGCAUGUCGCAUGGUGUCCGGUGCGCCCCAGCGGCCCUUGAAAAUCCGGAGGACCGAGUGCCUCCCACGCCCCGUCGUACUCAUAACCGCAUCAGGUCUCCAAGGUGAACAACCUCUGGUC
Molecule: ribosomal RNA, 428 nt
Organism: Vigna angularis (adzuki bean)
Lineage: Eukaryota; Viridiplantae; Streptophyta; Magnoliopsida; Fabales; Fabaceae
Rfam family: Eukaryotic large subunit ribosomal RNA
Source: Rfam